AUAUAUAGACAUGGCCAACACGGGUCAAAGUGCAGUAUCUGUUCUUAUCAGCUUAAUAUCUGAUACAGGUUGUAUUUGGACGCGAGAUAUUAUACCUAUUUUUGCAAGUUGGCGGAGUGCUUGAAGCCUGCGUUACCUCCGCCGCAAGUGGGCCUGGUAUUGUGCUAUCUUAUGGAUCGGCCCACGGGUU
This is a small nuclear RNA of Dermacentor albipictus, 190 nucleotides long. RefSeq annotates it as U2 spliceosomal RNA. The record is from RefSeq and is a predicted model, not a curated record. NCBI's taxonomy places the organism in Eukaryota, Metazoa, Arthropoda, Arachnida, Ixodida, Ixodidae.